Small nuclear RNA from Dermacentor albipictus, 183 nucleotides. RefSeq annotates it as U2 spliceosomal RNA. The record is from RefSeq and is a predicted model, not a curated record. Lineage: Eukaryota; Metazoa; Arthropoda; Arachnida; Ixodida; Ixodidae.
ACAUGACCGACGCGGAUCAAAGUGAAGUAUCUGUUCUCAUCAGCUUGAUAUGUGAUACGGGUUGUAUUUGGACCCAAGGCAUUAAAAGCUAUUUUUGUAAUUUCGCGGAGUGCUUGAGGCCUCCCUCAGCUCCGCCGCGGGCCGGACCGGCAUCGCACUAUCUUCGGUAUCGGCCCAAGUUUU